RNAcentral lists this ribosomal RNA (455 nucleotides) under uncultured Verrucomicrobiota bacterium. Its description in RNAcentral is "bacterial SSU rRNA". It matches the Rfam family "Bacterial small subunit ribosomal RNA", at positions 54 to 456 of the family's 1533-position model. The record is from RNAcentral. Lineage: Bacteria; Pseudomonadati; Verrucomicrobiota.
CAUGCAAGUCGCACGGGACUAUUUGAGUAGCAAUACAAGAAUAGUUUAGUGGCGCACGGGUGAGUAACACGUGAAUUACAUGCCCUGCAGAGGGGGAUAGCCCAGGGAAACUUGGAUUAAUACCCCAUGGUCCCAGCACUUUUUAAAGGUUCCGAGGUCCGGCAGGACGGCGGAGUUUUCAAAAAGUGCUGGGUAAAGGUGGCCGCAAGGCUGUCGCUGCAGGAUUGGUUCGCGCCCUAUCAGCUUGUUGGUGAGGUAACGGCUCACCAAGGCUACGACGGGUACCUGGUCUGAGAGGACGAUCAGGCACACUGGAACUGAGACACGGUCCAGACACCUACGGGUGGCAGCAGUCGAGAAUAAUUCACAAUGGGGGCAACCCUGAUGGUGCAACGCCGCGUGGAGGAUGAAGGUCUUCGGAUUGUAAACUCCUGUCAUCCGGGAGUAAGACCUGG